Molecule: ribosomal RNA, 495 nt
Filed under: uncultured bacterium
Lineage: Bacteria
Description: partial 16S ribosomal RNA
Rfam family: Bacterial small subunit ribosomal RNA
Source: RNAcentral
GACGAACGCUGGCGGCGUGCCUAACACAUGCAAGUCGAACGCUGAAGGAGGACUUUGCUUCGCUGGCUGAGUUGCGAACGGGUGAGUAACGCGUGGGUAACCUGCCUGGUAGCGGGGGAUAACUAUUGGAAACGGUAGCUAAUACCGCAUAAUAGUAGAUGUCGCAUGACGUUUGUUGAAAAGCUGCAAUUGCAUCACUACCAGAUGGACCUGCGUUGUGUUAGGUAGUUGGGGAGGUAAAGGCUCACCAAGGCAACGGGACAUAGACGACGUGAGAGGGGUGACGGCCAACCUGGGACUGUGACCCGGCCCAGGCGUCUUCGGGAGGGCGCAAGAGGGGAACGUUGGACAGUGGCGGAAAUCUGUCCGCAAAACGCCGGGGGAGGGAAGAACGGUGUCGGGUCGGAAAGGUCUGUUGUAAGGGGAGAACGAGUGUUAGAGUGGAACGUUGACACUGUGACGGUAUCUGAACAAAAAGCACCGGCUAACUACGUG